AAGGCGCGCGAUACAGGGUGACAGCCCCGUACACAAAAAUGCACAUGCUGUGAGCUCGAUGAGUAGGGCGGGACACGUGGUAUCCUGUCUGAAUAUGGGGGGACCAUCCUCCAAGGCUAAAUACUCCUGACUGACCGAUAGUGAACCAGUACCGUGAGGGAAAGGCGAAAAGAACCCCGGCGAGGGGAGUGAAAAAGAACCUGAAACCGUGUACGUACAAGCAGUGGGAGCACGCUUAGGCGUGUGACUGCGUACCUUUUGUAUAAUGGGUCAGCGACUUAUAUUCUGUAGCAAGGUUAACCGAAUAGGGGAGCCGAAGGGAAACCGAGUCUUAACUGGGCGUUAAGUUGCAGGGUAUAGACCCGAAACCCGGUGAUCUAGCCAUGGGCAGGUUGAAGGUUGGGUAACACUAACUGGAGGACCGAACCGACUAAUGUUGAAAAAUUAGCGGAUGACUUGUGGCUGGGGGUGAAAGGCCAAUCAAACCGGGAGAUAGCUGGUUCUCCCCGAAAGCUAUUUAGGUAGCGCCUCGUGAAUUCAUCUCCGGGGGUAGAGCACUGUUUCGGCAAGGGGGUCAUCCCGACUUACCAACCCGAUGCAAACUGCGAAUACCGGAGAAUGUUAUCACGGGAGACACACGGCGGGUGCUAACGUCCGUCGUGAAGAGGGAAACAACCCAGACCGCCAGCUAAGGUCCCAAAGUCAUGGUUAAGUGGGAAACGAUGUGGGAAGGCCCAGACAGCCAGGAUGUUGGCUUAGAAGCAGCCAUCAUUUAAAGAAAGCGUAAUAGCUCACUGGUCGAGUCGGCCUGCGCGGAAGAUGUAACGGGGCUAAACCAUGCACCGAAGCUGCGGCAGCGACGCUUAUGCGUUGUUGGGUAGGGGAGCGUUCUGUAAGCCUGUGAAGGUGUGCUGUGAGGCAUGCUGGAGGUAUCAGAAGUGCGAAUGCUGACAUAAGUAACGAUAAAGCGGGUGAAAAGCCCGCUCGCCGGAAGACCAAGGGUUCCUGUCCAACGUUAAUCGGGGCAGGGUGAGUCGACCCCUAAGGCGAGGCCGAAAGGCGUAGUCGAUGGGAAACAGGUUAAUAUUCCUGUACUUGGUGUUACUGCGAAGGGGGGACGGAGAAGGCUAUGUUGGCCGGGCGACGGUUGUCCCGGUUUAAGCGUGUAGGCUGGUUUUCCAGGCAAAUCCGGAAAAUCAAGGCUGAGGCGUGAUGACGAGGCACUACGGUGCUGAAGCAACAAAUGCCCUGCUUCCAGGAAAAGCCUCUAAGCAUCAGGUAACAUCAAAUCGUACCCCAAACCGACACAGGUGGUCAGGUAGAGAAUACCAAGGCGCUUGAGAGAACUCGGGUGAAGGAACUAGGCAAAAUGGUGCCGUAACUUCGGGAGAAGGCACGCUGAUAUGUAGGUGAAGUCCCUCGCGGAUGGAGCUGAAAUCAGUCGAAGAUACCAGCUGGCUGCAACUGUUUAUUAAAAACACAGCACUGUGCAAACACGAAAGUGGACGUAUACGGUGUGACGCCUGCCCGGUGCCGGAAGGUUAAUUGAUGGGGUCAGCGCAAGCGAAGCUCUUGAUCGAAGCCCCGGUAAACGGCGGCCGUAACUAUAACGGUCCUAAGGUAGCGAAAUUCCUUGUCGGGUAAGUUCCGACCUGCACGAAUGGCGUAAUGAUGGCCAGGCUGUCUCCACCCGAGACUCAGUGAAAUUGAACUCGCUGUGAAGAUGCAGUGUACCCGCGGCAAGACGGAAAGACCCCGUGAACCUUUACUAUAGCUUGACACUGAACAUUGAGCCUUGAUG
This 1801-nucleotide ribosomal RNA is filed under the name Escherichia coli. RNAcentral's name for it is "partial 23S ribosomal RNA". It matches the Rfam family "Bacterial large subunit ribosomal RNA", at positions 347 to 2136 of the family's 2925-position model. Lineage: Bacteria; Pseudomonadati; Pseudomonadota; Gammaproteobacteria; Enterobacterales; Enterobacteriaceae. The record is from RNAcentral.